UACGGAGGAUGCGAGCGUUAUCCGGAUUUAUUGGGUUUAAAGGUGCGUAGGCGGCCGAGUAAGUCAGCGGUGAAAUUUUGCAGCUUAACUGUAACAGUGCCGUUGAUACUGCAUGGCUAGGAUUUGGUUGCUGUGGGUGGAAUGUGUGGUGUAGCGGUGAAAUGCUUAGAUAUCACACAGAAUAUCAAUUGCGAAGGCAGCUCACAAAGCCAAGAUUGACGCUGAGGCACGAAAGUAGUGGGGAGUCAAA
RNAcentral lists this ribosomal RNA (250 nucleotides) under uncultured prokaryote. Its description in RNAcentral is "partial 16S ribosomal RNA". It matches the Rfam family "Bacterial small subunit ribosomal RNA", at positions 524 to 773 of the family's 1533-position model. The record is from RNAcentral.